Anolis carolinensis (green anole) is the source of this 1864-nucleotide long non-coding RNA. RefSeq lists it as uncharacterized. NCBI's taxonomy places the organism in Eukaryota, Metazoa, Chordata, Lepidosauria, Squamata, Anolidae. The transcript has 3 exons. The record is from RefSeq and is a predicted model, not a curated record.
GAAAGCAUAGCCACUUUGUUGCUAGUUAUGAUCUAAGGAGGAGGCUGAGUGGCAGAACAGAACAGCGGAAUGGUGAGUCAUUUAUGGGUUUCCACAUUAACAAGAGCUAGAAAUCAAGAUCUGACGUGGACUUCCAAAGCCUGAUUGAGACAGAAACUUGAACCAGUAUUUUGCUACUCACCACAGGCAGACCCAGGAUACUACAGAAUUUGGAGUACACAAAAGGAGAAUGCCACUACAUUAACGUGAUAAGGAGGGCUAGGGAUUUACAGGCCAAUGAGGAGCAACCAAUACAAACAAAAGGACACUCAUUAUCAGCGAAAUGUUGAGAGAUCAUUUGCUGCUCAGCCACAAUAACCUUCAAUUUUUUCAGAUCCUCAACCCAGGCAUAUAUUGAGAUAUUUGUUUCUUGUGUUCGUCUCAUUAAUGUAUUGAGUCGCACCACUGCUGUUGUGAUCCAAGCAGUAGGUCCUGACUCAUAGUGAAAGAUCAAUGCAACAGACUAUUACAGAUGAAAUGCCAGAAGACUGCUACAUCUUACCACUACAUCAUGUUGCCUCAAACACAGUUAUUUCUUCCGGUGGAGUUAGUUUGCAUUUUCUAAUAUGGGUAAUCAAGUGGCACAAGACAGGAUGAUGUGCGUCACAAAGUUAAGCCCAAGCAAGGUUCAACAAGCUAUUUUAAUAAUACAAAAAAGAUAGCAAACAGCAUCAGCUUCCAUAAAACAUGCACUGUUAUACAACAUAGGAAUGUUUGUGUCAUGGGUAGUGGAGAUAAUCCCUAUGGAUAAAUGGUUAGACAAAGGGGCUGAUAUCUAAUGGCAAAACAGAAGGGCAGAGUUAAAACUUGUAUUUUAACUCUGUGUGUCAUGUUGUAUGCAUUUCAAUGCUGUUUUAUCUCUUGUUUUAACAUUGUUGUACUCCACCUCAAGCAACAGGGUGAGGCGGGUAAUAAAUGAACUAUAUUAUUAUUGUUAUUAUUAUUAUUAUUAUUAUUAUUAUUAUUAUUAUUUACAUUAUAUUACACACAUUAGAAUUGAUUUGUCAUCCCUACAAAAGAAGGCACUGUGAAAUGCCAAAAAUUUAACUCCUGUCACCUAUCCCUCCAGUGAGAACAGAGUACAGACCUGCACCUAGGAUAAAAACAAAUGUUCAUGACUGUAACCUAUAACCAGUGGCCUCAAAAAUAGUUCUAGUGAAGUAAAAUGAUCUUCUUUAACUGAAUUGUGACUUGAGAGUAAUAUGGGUGGUAAAAAUAUUGGAGCUAACAGAAAGGAAAGAAUUAACCACUUAAUUGUACUACAGGACAAAUGAUGAAUUCUUAGAAGAAUAAGAACCAUUUUACAAGAGAGAUGAAUUCUAUUUGCAGGUUUAAAGACAUAAUAUUGGGAUUUUAACUAUUUUUCUAAAUACAAGCAGAAGUAUAUAUUUUGCAGCAUAUUAGGUGGAAAUGGUAAUAUUAUAUGUAAACUAAUGAAGGGAAAACGAUGAAUCAUUUUGAUUAUCUGUUUAUGUAUAUUUGUAUUAUGUUUGUAUUUGUAUUUGUAGAUGGUAAAAUAUUUAUCUGUUUGAUAACUUGUUUAGUUAUUUAUUGUCAAGAAACGAUGUGUCUAUAUGUUUAUUUUUUUAAAUACUCUAAUAAAAACUAAAUAUUUCUGUUUGCUUUUAAGAAAUAUAUUCUGUUUGUUGCAAAAUUCUCCCAAUAUUUUUGUUUCAUCCAGGUUGAAACAGAAUCCAAUGUAAAAGUAUUUUUUAAAAACCAGUUGCAAAGAACAAAAAAUAAAAUUAGCUUCCUGUUGGAAUGAAGUCAGAAAAGGAAAUAUUUUAACCUAAGGAGCCUACUUAACUGAGAAAUGCUAUCAAAA